Molecule: long non-coding RNA, 1505 nt
Filed under: Homo sapiens (human)
Lineage: Eukaryota; Metazoa; Chordata; Mammalia; Primates; Hominidae
Description: non-protein coding lnc-ZNF546-4:1
Source: RNAcentral
AGUCCUGAGCAGAAAGAACCUCAGAAGUCUUGGUCUAUGGUCUGUUCAGGUUGAUCCCAGCAUACAUUGGGGGCUCCUAAGGGACCCGAGCCUAAUGGAUUUGUGGGAGUUCCAGACCGUGGGGUGCAGAGGUUGCGGCCACGGGCGAGAAUCCCCAUCUGAGAGGAGCGUUGCUGUUUUCGGUGCGUCAGGGUAAAUUACCUUUUCUCUCUAUGCAAAAGAAUGCAAAUGAGCAGAACUUUUAAAGAAGAAUUUAAAGUAAAAUUACGUCAAAAUGUAGCUGCUUUGACCUCUUCGUCUCAGAUCCGAGCAUAGGCUUCCCCUUUGUGCUAUUUGAAGGGACUUAGGAUAAAUUUGAAAAGCCUGAACUAAAGAAAUGGUUGGAGAGACUCCGUCUCAAAAAAAAAAAAAAAAAGAAAGAAAGAAAGAAAAGGAAUCGUUGGUUUUAUACUAGAAGAGGAAGUGUGGUUUACAUGAGAGAUUUCAGAAUCAAAUAUACUUGAUUCUUCAAGACAAUCUUCCUGUUAUCUGGAGAGAAAAACGUGAUUCAGGACGGCAUGGAAACAGAUAAAAGUACACAGAGAAUUACUUGCCUUAUCUUGAAGGAUGAAUAAUUAACACAUUUUCUUAAAACAGUCUAAAUAAAUGCCAAAGGGGGUUUGUUUUUCGUAGGAAAAGCUUGAUUUCACUGUUGUAAUCUAGCAACAUUGAACUUUCAAAAUGAUUUUUGUAGUUUCCUAUGCUAUAUAAAGCGGAAACGUGGAAUAAUGAAGAGCAAAAUGUCUUUUCAUUCCCGACUGUGACAGAAAACAGAUAGCAAGAUAACAAACUUAAUUGGAUCAAUGAUCACAUUAAGUGUAACUGGUCUAACACCUUAACUUAAGAAGGUUGUCAGGUUGGAUUUUUUUUUUAAAAGUCAGACCCAAAUACGUGCUACCUACAGGUAAUACUUAAAAUAUAAAAGCACUAAUAGGUUAAAAGUAAAAGGAUGGAAAAAUAUAUAAAAUCCUAACACUAGUCAAAAGAAAGCUGGAGUGGCUAUAUUAAAAACAAAGUGACUUCACCAAAAAGACUAUAUCAGGGAUAAAGAAAGUUACAUCAUCAUAAUGAUGAAGGAUACAGUUCAUCCAGUGGAAAGAACAAACCUAAAUUAUGCUCUUAAUACAGCUUCUAAGUAUGUGAGUAAAAACCUGUUAGAUCAAUAAAGUAACAGACAAAUCCACAAUUAUAAUCAGAUAUUUCAACAUAUCUCUCUUGGUAAUUGAUAGAACUAAUGCAGAAAAGCAACAGGGUAUAGAUUAUCUAAACAACAUAUCAACCUGCUUGAUCUCAUUUACACUUCUGGAACACUCUUCUCAAAGACAGUAAAAUUCAUCUUAGGUGGACAGGAGACACUUUCCAGCGUAUACCAUAUUCUGGGCCAUAAAGCAAGUCUCCAUAAAUGAGUAAAUGGACUCAAGUCAUACAAAGAAUGUUUUUGACAAAAAUGGAAUUAAAUUAGAAAU